Sapajus apella (tufted capuchin) is the source of this 1087-nucleotide long non-coding RNA. RefSeq lists it as uncharacterized. The transcript is spliced from 2 exons. The record is from RefSeq and is a predicted model, not a curated record. NCBI's taxonomy places the organism in Eukaryota, Metazoa, Chordata, Mammalia, Primates, Cebidae.
UCGAGGCUGCAGUGAGCCCUUAUUGUGCCACUGUACUCCAACCUGAGAGUUUUUUGUUUUUUUUUUUUAAUAGUUUUGCUAGAUAACUCUCCAUUCCCACCCUCCCAAUAUGUCUGACACCACAGACUAUACUCAUUCCUUUGCUAUUUGCAAGUUUAUAGUAGCCUGCCGCAACUGCCUCAUCCACAGAUAUAAUUUUCUUCAUUGUCUUUUGGAAUGCAUUUAACCAGUAAGCUUCUUUUAACCGAUAAAAACAUCUAGAUUUUGUAUUUUGCAUAACAUUGAUAUUCCUUUAUAGUUCAUAUUGGAUGAAAUGUCUUGAACACAAGCAAGUUAUCUUUUUUUUUUCCAUUCUGUAUGCCAGACUUUUAAAGAAAGAAUCUGCGUUGAGUUCAACUUUGGCUGCUUGCUCUUCUGCUGUGAGUAGCAGUUUUCAAUCAAGUUUCCAGUGGCAGCACCAGUGGGGAAAGUCUGCAUUUUUUUAAGAUGACCGUGACCGACCUCACUCCUAGAGCUAUUGGAUUCCAGCCUGUUUUGGGGGAGUUUAUUAUUUUGGUUAUUACUUAAAGCACUUAAGUCUUCUGAAUCUCACUGAGUUUUUUGUUUUGACUUUUCAAAUGUUCUUCACAACUCUUUUGUAGGAAAUUUAAAAUGUUAUACCCAGAACUGUACAAGUACUUUACUAGUGAGAUUAAACUAAAUGUAACAAUGCAACAACAGAUCAAAAGCACACUAAGAUUUCACUUGUGUCAGUUUUGAAAACCCUAGACCUCUUACAGCAGCCACAGACUUGUUUCCUUUCAUGCAGUUCCCCUUAAAAAGCAAUUUACAGUUGUUUUUUUUCAAUCCUCCGUAGAUUCUGCUAAAUUCGGAAGAAAUUGCAUGCAAUCCCUGGCUUUGUUCCAGAAGUUAAUUUGUGAAUGAAUGAAAGCCAUGAUCUUUGUCUUGAUAAAAAAUUACCUAUAUACUUGGAGAUGCCUAUGUGUCCCCUUCCCAGAGCUAACCACUCUUCUGGAUUUGGUGUUUACCAUUCUCAUCAUGCUAUUAUACUAUUACUGCAUAUGUUAAUAAACAGCAUAUAGCAUAA